ACAAGUCUCACAGCUUCAUGCCGGUCGAUGAAGCUGUUGAAACCUACAAGGCUGAGAUCAAAUCUUCCUUAGAAUCUCUCACUCAAAAUAAAUUGGCGUUGGAACAAAUGGAACAGCAACAGAAGCAGAAGAUUUGUGGAGUUCUGGAACAGUCACAGUAUCUGCAGUCCCACAUCAGGCCCC
Molecule: long non-coding RNA, 183 nt
Organism: Amblyraja radiata (thorny skate)
Lineage: Eukaryota; Metazoa; Chordata; Chondrichthyes; Rajiformes; Rajidae
Exons: 3
Source: RefSeq, a predicted model, not a curated record